This 253-nucleotide ribosomal RNA is filed under the name uncultured bacterium. RNAcentral describes it as "partial 16S ribosomal RNA". It matches the Rfam family "Bacterial small subunit ribosomal RNA", at positions 524 to 776 of the family's 1533-position model. The record is from RNAcentral.
UACGAAGGGGGCUAGCGUUGCUCGGAAUGACUGGGCGUAAAGGGCGCGUAGGCGGAUGGCACAGUCAGAUGUGAAAUUCCCGGGCUUAACCUGGGGGCUGCAUUUGAUACGUGUUGUCUUGAGUUCGGAAGAGGGUCGUGGAAUUCCCAGUGUAGAGGUGAAAUUCGUAGAUAUUGGGAAGAACACCGGUGGCGAAGGCGGCGAUCUGGGUCGAUACUGACGCUGAGGUGCGAAAGCGUGGGGAGCAAACAGG